RNAcentral lists this transfer RNA (61 nucleotides) under Scutopus ventrolineatus. RNAcentral's name for it is "tRNA-Ser". Lineage: Eukaryota; Metazoa; Mollusca; Caudofoveata; Limifossorida; Scutopodidae. The record is from RNAcentral.
AAGAAAAAGCAUAUCAAGGCUGCUAACUUUGAUAAGAGUACAUAAUAGUAUUCAUUUCUUA